This 702-nucleotide ribosomal RNA is filed under the name uncultured Staphylococcus sp. RNAcentral's name for it is "bacterial SSU rRNA". It matches the Rfam family "Bacterial small subunit ribosomal RNA", at positions 47 to 730 of the family's 1533-position model. Lineage: Bacteria; Bacillati; Bacillota; Bacilli; Caryophanales; Staphylococcaceae. The record is from RNAcentral.
CCUAAUACAUGCAAGUCGAGCGAACAGAUAAGGAGCUUGCUCCUUUGACGUUAGCGGCGGACGGGUGAGUAACACGUGGGUAACCUACCUAUAAGACUGGGAUAACUUCGGGAAACCGGAGCUAAUACCGGAUAACAUUUGGAACCGCAUGGUUCUAAAGUGAAAGAUGGUUUUGCUAUCACUUAUAGAUGGACCCGCGCCGUAUUAGCUAGUUGGUAAGGUAACGGCGUUACCAAGGCAACGAUACGUAGCCGACCUGAGAGGGUGAUCGGCCACACUGGAACUGAGACACGGUCCAGACUCCUACGGGAGGCAGCAGUAGGGAAUCUUCCGCAAUGGGCGAAAGCCUGACGGAGCAACGCCGCGUGAGUGAUGAAGGGUUUCGGCUCGUAAAACUCUGUUAUUAGGGAAGAACAAAUGUGUAAGUAACUGUGCACAUCUUGACGGUACCUAAUCAGAAAGCCACGGCUAACUACGUGCCAGCAGCCGCGGUAAUACGUAGGUGGCAAGCGUUAUCCGGAAUUAUUGGGCGUAAAGCGCGCGUAGGCGGUUUUUUAAGUCUGAUGUGAAAGCCCACGGCUCAACCGUGGAGGGUCAUUGGAAACUGGAAAACUUGAGUGCAGAAGAGGAAAGUGGAAUUCCAUGUGUAGCGGUGAUAUGCGCAGAGAUAUGGAGGUACACCAGUGGCGAAGGCGACUUUCU